UACGGGGGGGGCAAGCGUUGUUCGGAAUUACUGGGCGUAAAGCGUAUGCAGGCGGAUUGUUAAGUCGGGGGUGAAAUCCCGAGGCUCAACCUCGGAACUGCCUUCGAUACUGGCGACCUUCGAGUCCGGGAGAGGUGAGUGGAACUCCGAGUGUAGAGGUGAAAUUCGUAGAUAUUCGGAAGAACACCAGUGGCGAAGGCGGCUCACUGGCCCGGUACUGACGCUGAGAUACGAAAGCGUGGGGAGCAAACAGG
Molecule: ribosomal RNA, 254 nt
Filed under: uncultured bacterium
Lineage: Bacteria
Description: partial 16S ribosomal RNA
Rfam family: Bacterial small subunit ribosomal RNA
Source: RNAcentral